RNAcentral lists this ribosomal RNA (516 nucleotides) under uncultured bacterium. Its description in RNAcentral is "bacterial SSU rRNA". It matches the Rfam family "Bacterial small subunit ribosomal RNA", at positions 8 to 518 of the family's 1533-position model. The record is from RNAcentral.
AGAGUUGAUCAUGGCUCAGGAUGAACGCUAGCGGCAGGCUUAACACAUGCAAGUCGAGGGGCAGCACGGGAGUAGCAAUACAACUGGUGGCGACCGGCGCACGGGUGAGUAACGCGUAUGCAACCUACCUAUCAGAGGGAAUAACCCGGCGAAAGUCGGACUAAUACCGCAUAAAACAGGGGCACCGCAUGGUGAUAUUUGUUAAAGAAAUUCGCUGAUAGAUGGGCAUGCGUUCCAUUAGGUAGUUGGUGAGGUAACGGCUCACCAAGCCGACGAUGGAUAGGGAACUGAGAGGUUGGUCCCCCACACUGGUACUGAGACACGGACCAGACUCCUACGGGAGGCAGCAGUGAGGAAUAUUGGUCAAUGGGCGAGAGCCUGAACCAGCCAAGUCCGCGUGAAGGAAGAAGGAUCUAUGGUUCGUAAACUUCUUUGCAGGGGAAUAAAGUGCGGGACGUGUCCUGUUUUGUAUGUACCCUGAGAAUAAGGAUCGGCUAACUCCGUGCCAGCCGCCGC